UCCCUGGUGGCUCAGACGGUAAAGCAUCUGCCUGAAAUGCAGGAGACCCAGGUUCAAUUCCUGGGUCGGGAA
RNAcentral lists this transfer RNA (72 nucleotides) under Bos taurus (domestic cattle). It matches the Rfam family "tRNA". Rfam says of the family: Transfer RNA (tRNA) molecules are approximately 80 nucleotides in length. Their secondary structure includes four short double-helical elements and three loops (D, anti-codon, and T loops). Further hydrogen bonds mediate the characteristic L-shaped molecular structure. tRNAs have two regions of fundamental functional importance: the anti-codon, which is responsible for specific mRNA codon recognition, and the 3' end, to which the tRNAs corresponding amino acid is attached (by aminoacyl-tRNA synthetases). tRNAs cope with the degeneracy of the genetic code in two manners: having more than one tRNA (with a specific anti-codon) for a particular amino acid; and 'wobble' base-pairing, i.e. permitting non-standard base-pairing at the 3rd anti-codon position. RNAcentral also lists the same sequence under 2 other names. Lineage: Eukaryota; Metazoa; Chordata; Mammalia; Artiodactyla; Bovidae. The record is from Rfam by way of RNAcentral.